AUUGAACGCUGGCGGCAUGCCUUACACAUGCAAGUCGAACGGCAGCACGGGAGCAAUCCUGGUGGCGAGUGGCGAACGGGUGAGUAAAGUAUCGGAACGUGCCCAGUCGUGGGGGAUAACGUAGCGAAAGUUACGCUAAUACCGCAUACGAUCUAUGGAUGAAAGCGGGGGAUCGCAAGACCUCGCGCGAUUGGAGCGGCCGAUAUCAGAUUAGGUAGUUGGUGGGGUAAAGGCUCACCAAGCCGACGAUCUGUAGCUGGUCUGAGAGGACGACCAGCCACACUGGGACUGAGACACGGACCAGACUCCUACGGGAGGCAGCAGUGGGGAAGUUUGGACAAUGGGCGAAAGCCUGAUCCAGCCAUGCCGCGUGCAGGAUGAAGGCCUUCGGGUUGUAAACUGCUUUUGUACGGAACGAAAAGGUUUGGCCUAAUAAGCUGAGCUCAUGACGGUACCGUAAGAAUAAGCACCGGCUAACUACGUGCCAGCCGCCGCGGUAA
Molecule: ribosomal RNA, 500 nt
Filed under: uncultured bacterium
Lineage: Bacteria
Description: partial 16S ribosomal RNA
Rfam family: Bacterial small subunit ribosomal RNA
Source: RNAcentral